CUUUUCUGGUUCCUCCUCAUUUGCAGAUAAAUCUUUGGCCUUUUACUAAAGAUUUCCAUCGGAAGGCACAAUACAAUGAGUCUUAUCUCAUUUUUUCCAACUACGUUUCGUUUGCAGUG
Schistosoma mansoni is the source of this 119-nucleotide small nuclear RNA. It matches the Rfam family "U5 spliceosomal RNA". Rfam says of the family: U5 RNA is a component of both types of known spliceosome. The precise function of this molecule is unknown, though it is known that the 5' loop is required for splice site selection and p220 binding, and that both the 3' stem-loop and the Sm site are important for Sm protein binding and cap methylation. The record is from Rfam. Lineage: Eukaryota; Metazoa; Platyhelminthes; Trematoda; Strigeidida; Schistosomatidae.